CAGUAUCCGCGGUAACACGUAGGUGGCAAGCGUUGUCCGGAAUUAUUGGGCGUAAAGGGCUCGCAGGCGGUUUCUUAAGUCUGAUGUGAAGCCCCCGGCUCAACCGGGGAGGGUCAUUGGAAACUGGGAAACCUGAGUGCAGAAGAGGAGAGUGGAAUUCCACGUGUAGCGGUGAAAUGCGUAGAGAUGUGGAGGAACACCAGUGGCGAAGGCGACUCUCUGGUCUGUAACUGACGCUGAGGAGCGAAAGCGUGGGGAGCGAACAGGAUUAGAUACCCCCGUAGUCCCUGUCUCUUAUACA
This 301-nucleotide ribosomal RNA is filed under the name uncultured bacterium. RNAcentral's name for it is "partial 16S ribosomal RNA". It matches the Rfam family "Bacterial small subunit ribosomal RNA", at positions 509 to 808 of the family's 1533-position model. The record is from RNAcentral.